GUGCUCGCUUCGGCAGCACAUACACUAAAACUGGAACAAUAGCAUGGCCCCUGAGCAAGGAUGACACGCAAAUUCGUGAAGCAUUCCGUAUUUUU
This 95-nucleotide small nuclear RNA is filed under the name Vicugna pacos (alpaca). The record is from RNAcentral. Lineage: Eukaryota; Metazoa; Chordata; Mammalia; Artiodactyla; Camelidae.